CCUACGGUAGGCAGCAGUGAGGAAUAUUUGUCAAUGGACGCAAGUCUGAACCAGCCAUGCCGCGUGCAGGAAGACGGCUCUAUGAGUUGUAAACUGCUUUUGUACGAGGGUAAACGCAGAUACGCGUAUCUGUCUGACAGUAUCGUACGAAUAAGGAUCGGCUAACUCCGUGCCAGCAGCCGCGGUAAUACGGAGGAUUCAAGCGUUAUCCGGAUUUAUUGGGUUUAAAGGGUGCGUAGGCGGUCGGAUAAGUUAGAGGUGAAAUCCCGAGGCUCAACUUCGGAAUUGCCUCUGAUACUGUUCGGCUAGAGAGUAGUUGCGGUAGGCGGAAUGUAUGGUGUAGCGGUGAAAUGCUUAGAGAUCAUACAGAACACCGAUUGCGAAGGCAGCUUACCAAGCUACUUCUGACGUUGAGGCACGAAAGCGUGGGGAGCAAACAGGAUUAGAUACCCUGGUAGUC
RNAcentral lists this ribosomal RNA (460 nucleotides) under uncultured bacterium. RNAcentral's name for it is "partial 16S ribosomal RNA". It matches the Rfam family "Bacterial small subunit ribosomal RNA", at positions 338 to 795 of the family's 1533-position model. The record is from RNAcentral.